Molecule: ribosomal RNA, 497 nt
Filed under: uncultured bacterium
Lineage: Bacteria
Description: partial 16S ribosomal RNA
Rfam family: Bacterial small subunit ribosomal RNA
Source: RNAcentral
GAUGAACGCUGGCGGCGUGCCUAAUACAUGCAAGUCGAGCGAACAGACGAGGAGCUUGCUCCUCUGACGUUAGCGGCGGACGGGUGAGUAACACGUGGAUAACCUACCUAUAAGACUGGGAUAACUUCGGGAAACCGGAGCUAAUACCGGAUAAUAUAUUGAACCGCAUGGUUCAAUAGUGAAAGACGGUUUUGCUGUCACUUAUAGAUGGAUCCGCGCCGCAUUAGCUAGUUGGUAAGGUAACGGCUUACCAAGGCAACGAUGCGUAGCCGACCUGAGAGGGUGAUCGGCCACCCUGGAACUGAGACACGGUCCAGCCUCCUACGGGAGGCAGCAGUAGGGAAUCUUCCGCAAUGGGCGAAAGCCUGACGGAGCAACGCCGCGUGAGUGAUGAAGGUCUUCGGAUCGUAAAACUCUGUUAUUAGGGAAGAACAAAUGUGUAAGUAACUAUGCACGUCUUGACGGUACCUAAUCAGAAAGCCACGGCUAACUACGUG